GCUUUUAAGGACCUGAGUCGUUUUAAAGGGCCAGCUCCUCCUUAGAAUGCUGGAGACUCCUUGAAGAACAAGAGCCGCUUUAAAGGCCCAGCCUCCGGGUUGUCAAAGCCACGUUAAAGGACCCAAGACACCGAGUGUCGCCUUUAUACCCAGCGUUCUGAGCGGGCUGGAGACUUCCAAGAUUGGCUUAGAUGACAGGAAAAGAAAAUGAUAAAUGCUUAAGAGAAUGUGGGGAAAAUGGAACACUAAUGUCCUGUUGAUGGUAUUGUGAACUAACCCACUCUGGAGAACAAUUUGGAACUAUGCCCAAAGGAAAACCAAACUCUGCAUAACCUUUGAUUCAGCAUAUACCACUGCUGGGUCUGUAUCCCAAAAAGAUAAUUAUAAAAGGAAAAGGACAUACGUGUGUAAAAAUAUUUAUAGCAGCCCUUUCUAUGGUAAAAUACUGGAAAUUAAGGGGAUGCCCAUCAAUUGGGGAAUGACUGAAAAAGCUAUGAUACAUCAAUUUAAUGGAAUACUAUUGUGCAAUAAGAAAUGAAAAACAUGAAGAUUUCAGAAAAACCUAGAAAGGCUUAUACAUACUGAUGAAAAGUCAAAUGAUCAGAACAAGGAAAACAUCGUACACAAUAUCAACAACACUGUGUCAAUCAACUGUGAAUGACUGCUCUUCUCAGCAACCCAAUAAAGGAAAAGGCUAUCAAUGACCAGAUAAAGAACUGAUGGACUUGGAAUACAGAUUGAAACAUUUUUUCACUUACUUUAUUCUUUCUCAUGUUUUUUUUUUUUUUUCCUUUUCCUUUUGAUCUGUUUCUUCUUUCACAAUUGAUAUGCAAAUAUAUUUUACGUGAUAGCAGAUGUAUAAACUAUAUCAAAUACCUACCCUCUCUGGUAGAGAGGAGAGAAAAAGAAAGAAAAUUUUGGAAUUCAAAAAUGAAUUAAAUGUAAAAAUGUAUGAAUGUAAAAAGAAUGCUUAAAAUUGUCUUGUCCUGUUAACUGGAGAAAAAAGUAAAAUAAUUUUUUUAAGUCAUCAAAAAAUUGAUGUCAUGGGGACAGCUAGGUGACACAGUGGAUAGAGUACUAAUCCUGAAGUCAGGAGGACCUGAAUUCAAAUCUAGUCUCAGACGCUUAAUACUUCCUAGAUGUGUGACCCUGGAUAAGUCACUUAACCCCAGUUGCCUCAGCAAAAAAAAAGAAAGAAAAAAUUGAUGUCAUGUUUCACAUGUUAUCAGUCUGGCUAUUGAAAGGGACUGUAGUAUGCACAAAACAAUUAACUCUAUCUUAUCAAAGGUAAAAAGGAUUGCCCCUUUAGAGUAUGAACUGGUUGGCAAAGAGAGGGGUGUGGAGAAAAGGAUUUUUGUGCACAGAAAAACAUAAAAAUCCAUGUGUUUGAAAGAUAUACUUUUCCCCUUAAUGUGUGUGUGGGAGAAAAUAUUUAAUAGUAUUAUAUAAGGAGCUGCCCCUCAGAUGAAUGGAUCUAAAUAAGAUGGUUUGAGAAAGACUGAGGCUUAGGGACAUUGUGGUCCAUUAGCUCACAAACAUGUAACAUUUUAGAACUUGAAAGGUUAAAAUUCACAGUAUUAAUUCACACUCCAGAUUAUUGUUUGUUGUUUGGUUGUUUUCAGUUUUGUCAAAUCCCUUUUGUGUUUCCUUUUAGUGUUUUCUUGACAGAGAUACUAGAGUGGUUUCCCAUUUCCUUCUCCAGUUCAUUCAAUAAAUGAGGAACUGAGGCAAACAUGGUUAAAUGACUUACCCAGAGUCACACAGCUAGUGAAUUUCUGACACCAGAUUUGAAGUCACAAAGAUGAGUCAUCCUAAUUCUAGGCCCAACACUCUAUCCAUUCUGCUACUCACCUGCCUAUUCAGAGUAGAAAAAAAUUAAAUAAAGUUUCAAAACUGACCAAAAUUUAACACCUUCAAAGGAAAAGAUAAGUCAGCAAUUUAUAUUAACUGAUGCAAAAUAAAAUCAACAAAAUAAAAAAAAGUUCAUAUCAACAAUAAUGUAAAUGGAAAAAGCAAUAAAAGGAAAUUAAAUGCUA
Antechinus flavipes (yellow-footed antechinus) is the source of this 2036-nucleotide long non-coding RNA. RefSeq lists it as uncharacterized. The transcript has 2 exons. Lineage: Eukaryota; Metazoa; Chordata; Mammalia; Dasyuromorphia; Dasyuridae. The record is from RefSeq and is a predicted model, not a curated record.